RNAcentral lists this ribosomal RNA (2080 nucleotides) under Salmonella enterica. RNAcentral describes it as "partial 23S ribosomal RNA". It matches the Rfam family "Bacterial large subunit ribosomal RNA", at positions 873 to 2925 of the family's 2925-position model. The record is from RNAcentral. Lineage: Bacteria; Pseudomonadati; Pseudomonadota; Gammaproteobacteria; Enterobacterales; Enterobacteriaceae.
GGUAGCGCCUCGUGAAUUCAUCUCCGGGGGUAGAGCACUGUUUCGGCUAGGGGGCCAUCCCGGCUUACCAACCCGAUGCAAACUGCGAAUACCGGAGAAUGUUAUCACGGGAGACACACGGCGGGUGCUAACGUCCGUCGUGAAGAGGGAAACAACCCAGACCGCCAGCUAAGGUCCCAAAGUCAUGGUUAAGUGGGAAACGAUGUGGGAAGGCCCAGACAGCCAGGAUGUUGGCUUAGAAGCAGCCAUCAUUUAAAGAAAGCGUAAUAGCUCACUGGUCGAGUCGGCCUGCGCGGAAGAUGUAACGGGGCUAAACCAUGCACCGAAGCUGCGGCAGCGACGCUGAUGCGUUGUUGGGUAGGGGAGCGUUCUGUAAGCCUGCGAAGGUGGCCUGUGAGGGUUGCUGGAGGUAUCAGAAGUGCGAAUGCUGACAUAAGUAACGAUAAAGCGGGUGAAAAGCCCGCUCGCCGGAAGACCAAGGGUUCCUGUCCAACGUUAAUCGGGGCAGGGUGAGUCGACCCCUAAGGCGAGGCCGAAAGGCGUAGUCGAUGGGAAACGGGUUAAUAUUCCCGUACUUGGUGUUACUGCGAAGGGGGGACGGAGAAGGCUAUGUUGGCCGGGCGACGGUUGUCCCGGUUUAAGCGUGUAGGUGUGUGUUCCAGGUAAAUCCGGUUCACUUUAACACUGAGGCGUGAUGACGAGGCACUACGGUGCUGAAGCAACAAAUGCCCUGCUUCCAGGAAAAGCCUCUAAGCAUCAGGUAACAUCAAAUCGUACCCCAAACCGACACAGGUGGUCAGGUAGAGAAUACCAAGGCGCUUGAGAGAACUCGGGUGAAGGAACUAGGCAAAAUGGUGCCGUAACUUCGGGAGAAGGCACGCUGACACGUAGGUGAAGUGAUUUACUCAUGGAGCUGAAGUCAGUCGAAGAUACCAGCUGGCUGCAACUGUUUAUUAAAAACACAGCACUGUGCAAACACGAAAGUGGACGUAUACGGUGUGACGCCUGCCCGGUGCCGGAAGGUUAAUUGAUGGGGUCAGCGCAAGCGAAGCUCCUGAUCGAAGCCCCGGUAAACGGCGGCCGUAACUAUAACGGUCCUAAGGUAGCGAAAUUCCUUGUCGGGUAAGUUCCGACCUGCACGAAUGGCGUAAUGAUGGCCAGGCUGUCUCCACCCGAGACUCAGUGAAAUUGAACUCGCUGUGAAGAUGCAGUGUACCCGCGGCAAGACGGAAAGACCCCGUGAACCUUUACUAUAGCUUGACACUGAACAUUGAGCCUUGAUGUGUAGGAUAGGUGGGAGGCUUUGAAGUGUGGACGCCAGUCUGCAUGGAGCCGGCCUUGAAAUACCACCCUUUAAUGUUUGAUGUUCUAACGUGGACCCGUGAUCCGGGUUGCGGACAGUGUCUGGUGGGUAGUUUGACUGGGGCGGUCUCCUCCUAAAGAGUAACGGAGGAGCACGAAGGUUGGCUAAUCCUGGUCGGACAUCAGGAGGUUAGUGCAAUGGCAUAAGCCAGCUUGACUGCGAGCGUGACGGCGCGAGCAGGUGCGAAAGCAGGUCAUAGUGAUCCGGUGGUUCUGAAUGGAAGGGCCAUCGCUCAACGGAUAAAAGGUACUCCGGGGAUAACAGGCUGAUACCGCCCAAGAGUUCAUAUCGACGGCGGUGUUUGGCACCUCGAUGUCGGCUCAUCACAUCCUGGGGCUGAAGUAGGUCCCAAGGGUAUGGCUGUUCGCCAUUUAAAGUGGUACGCGAGCUGGGUUUAGAACGUCGUGAGACAGUUCGGUCCCUAUCUGCCGUGGGCGCUGGAGAACUGAGGGGGGCUGCUCCUAGUACGAGAGGACCGGAGUGGACGCAUCACUGGUGUUCGGGUUGUCAUGCCAAUGGCACUGCCCGGUAGCUAAAUGCGGAAGAGAUAAGUGCUGAAAGCAUCUAAGCACGAAACUUGCCCCGAGAUGAGUUCUCCCUGAGACUUAGAGUCUCCUGAAGGAACGUUGAAGACGACGACGUUGAUAGGCCGGGUGUGUAAGCGCAGCGAUGCGUUGAGCUAACCGGUACUAAUGAACCGUGAGGCUUAACCUUACA